This is a long non-coding RNA of Ostrinia nubilalis (European corn borer), 405 nucleotides long. RefSeq lists it as uncharacterized. Lineage: Eukaryota; Metazoa; Arthropoda; Insecta; Lepidoptera; Crambidae. The transcript is spliced from 3 exons. The record is from RefSeq and is a predicted model, not a curated record.
CUGCUAUCAUUUCUAAGUAAUUUAGAAACUGGUUUGUUACCGCACGGACAACUCGACCCACCGUUAUGGUCUCAAAGAGGGACUGGAAAGGUCUUCGGACGAGGCAAAAUCCGUAGACGUCCUCUGCCUAGCCUCUGUGAGAGCGGAGAGACAGAAGAGGCUGAGUGGGAAGAAGCCGCUGGCGACUAUGUAUUUCGAAUCGUCAACAAUGCCAUUACAGAUAGAGAAGCAAUGCGACAUUCCCUCCUCGAGCGAGCAGUGUCGUCACCCCCGCGGACUCCUCGUCGACCACUUGCUUCAACCUCCACAACAUCAUCAGAUUCAUCUACAAUGUCAGUGGACUGUCCUCCUCCAAUCGGUCACAAUGGAGUACCACCACAGGUUGUGCCACCACCACAGCCAAUG